This 897-nucleotide ribosomal RNA is filed under the name uncultured delta proteobacterium. Its description in RNAcentral is "bacterial SSU rRNA". It matches the Rfam family "Bacterial small subunit ribosomal RNA", at positions 988 to 1533 of the family's 1533-position model. The record is from RNAcentral. Lineage: Bacteria; Deltaproteobacteria.
GUCCGUCAUCCGUCGCUCCCCCCCCCCCGUCNCCUGCCNCUUGGUUUCCCCACCGCGGCUCCGGCGUGCUCCGCGGCCCCUCCUCGUCUCAAUACGCUUCCCAAUACGCCCUGAAUCCCCCCCUCCUUCGCUCUUACUCCGUCUCCUUUACCCCCCCGAGUCGCCCUGCUCGCCCGCCGCCCCUCGGACGGCCCCGUCCCACCUCGGCACCGUCCACUCCAGCCAGGCACCCCGGCCCUCUCGCUGCGGCAGGUCCCCAAGUGGCGUCAUCCCCCGUAUCCCGACACAACUACCUUCACCCUGAUCUUCCCCCCCUCCGGCAGACACCUGCCAGGGCGAGAAAGCCGAGCCCGAACACAGCGCCCUCCAUGGCGUUCCUAAGCUCGGUUCGUGAGCCGUUGGCCUAACCCCCGCCAGAGCCGCAACCCUCUCCCCUAGUCCCCCCAAAUCNACCGGGGGACUCUAGGGGACACUGCCGGUGACAAACCGGAGGCAGGUGGGGAUGACGUCAAGUCCUUAUGGCNCNUACGGGNCAGGGCUANACACGUACUACAAUGGUCGGUNCAGAGGAAAAAGAAGCCGCGAGGUGGAGCCAAUCCCAGAAAACCGAUCUCAGUCCGGAUUGGAGUCUGCAACUCGACUCCAUGAAGUCGGAAUCGCUAGUAAUCGCGAAUCAGCUAUGUCGCGGUGAAUACGUUCCCGGGCCUUGUACACACCGCCCGUCACACCAUGGGAGUUGGCUGCACCAGAAGCAGGUAGUCUAACCGCACGAGGGAGCACCUACCACGGUGUGGUCAAUGACUGGGGUGAAGUCGUAACACAAUGUAAGUCAAGCCCAUGGCGCCCGGGAGAAUGCGAAAUGGGGCCAAUAUGCCCUAUAGGAGUCGUAUACAUAUC